This 403-nucleotide ribosomal RNA is filed under the name uncultured bacterium. RNAcentral's name for it is "partial 16S ribosomal RNA". It matches the Rfam family "Bacterial small subunit ribosomal RNA", at positions 30 to 526 of the family's 1533-position model. The record is from RNAcentral.
AUUGAACGAUGGCGGCAGGCCUAACACAUGCAAGUCGAGCGAGCGGGGGACGGGUGAGUAAUGUAUGGGGACUGCCCGAUAGAGGGGGAUAACUACUGGAAACGGUGGCUAAUACAGCAUACUGUUGGAUAACCCAUAUGGGAUUAGCUAGUAGGUAAGGUAAGUGCUUACCUAGGCGACGAUCCCUAGCUGGUCUGAGAGGAUGAUCAGCCACACUGGGACUGAGACACGGCCCAGACUCCUACGGAGGCAGCAGUGGGGAAUAUUGUACAAUGGGCGCAAGCCUGAUGCAGCCAUGCCGCGUGUAUGAAGAAGGCCCUAGGGUUGUAAAGUACUUUCAGUCGGGAGGCGUUACCGACAGAAGAAGCACCGGCUAACUCCGUGCCAGCAGCCGCGGUAAUAC